This 64-nucleotide transfer RNA is filed under the name human gut metagenome. It matches the Rfam family "tRNA", at positions 6 to 65 of the family's 71-position model. Rfam says of the family: Transfer RNA (tRNA) molecules are approximately 80 nucleotides in length. Their secondary structure includes four short double-helical elements and three loops (D, anti-codon, and T loops). The record is from RNAcentral. RNAcentral also lists the same sequence under 1 other name.
UCUGUGGCUCAGUUGGUAGAGCAACGCAUUCGUAAUGCGUGGGUCGUGGGUUCGAGUCCCAUCG